RNAcentral lists this ribosomal RNA (253 nucleotides) under uncultured bacterium. RNAcentral's name for it is "partial 16S ribosomal RNA". It matches the Rfam family "Bacterial small subunit ribosomal RNA", at positions 524 to 776 of the family's 1533-position model. The record is from RNAcentral.
AACGUAGGUUCCGAGCGUUAUCCGGAUUUACUGGGCGUAAAGCGCGUUCAGGCGGUUUGCCAAGUCGGGCAUGAAAUCUCUCGGCUCAACCGGGAGAGGUUGUCCGAUACUUCCAGACUUGAGGGCAGUAGAGGGUGGUGGAAUUCCGGGUGUAGUGGUGAAAUGCGUAGAUAUCCGGAGGAACACCAGUGGCGAAAGCGGCCACCUGGACUGCACCUGACGCUGACACGCGAAAGCUAGGGGAGCGAACGGG